UGCAUUUAUAAUCUUAAAAAUAGUAUUACUACACACAUUUAGUACACAAUAGUAGUAUUACACACAGUUUAAGCCAGCGCUGGGGUUUUUCCUGACAUAUGCUUGUAAUAACCAGUCAGGCAAUGCUAGACAUUAUCAUUAUUACUAUUAUUAUUUUACUUUAUUAUUAUUGUUAGUGUUAUUGUUCGUGCUGUGGCUUAAUUAUCGUCCAAAAAUGCUGCUAGUUAUAUUAUGGACUUGCGCGUUUUAAUCACUGAUCUCAAGGCUAGGUAGGAGUGGAUAGUGCGUCCACUAUGCAUAAACGAAACCAAUGGUAGCCAUAUUGGUUGGGACCAGAAAUUAACGUUUUACGGUUUCUAGUUAUCGGUGGGAUAGAAUAAACAUUGUCUAAUUAAAAAUGUAUCAAUAGUAGCUUUUCUUCCCUUUUAAAUUUGCCCGUGAAUAACUAAUCGGAGGUCACAUCAAGAUGGCUGCCACAACGGUGUCAUUAUCUAGUGUUUAAAACGUUCUAAAACUCAUUGGAAGAAAUAUGAGAAGCUAUAUCUUUCAUGUUACAUGGGAAAAGAUAUUCGCUUGAUACUGUCUCUAAUUUAAGCACUUCGCAAUCCAAUUGACAGAGUUUAAAAUCUCAUCUCAUUAUAAAUAUUCAGGCUUCAAAAUUGGCUGAUUGGAUUCAAAAGGAUGCUUUAUCCAGUCGCAUUUUGUGUUUUAGGUCGUGCUAACUGGCGGUUUGUCUGAUGAAAAAUGCAUGGCCAACUGGCGGUUCUUCUGGUGGUAUAUGGUAAUCAGAAUAAUAUAAUACCGAUAAAAUAGCACCUAAGAUUACGCCUAUUAUAACAAGCGAGAGCGCAAUUGGACGCAUUACACUCAUAUGCGUGACGCCAGGCAUAACAACUACUACUAUCACUGUCGAUAAAAUGUUCUCCACAGAUAGUAGAGCGUACAAAUAAGAAUAGGGAAUCUUUGAAUCCAUCUCCAGCCAGUGGUAGUAAAUCUCUGUUGGAUGAAAA
This is a non-coding RNA of Paramuricea clavata, 1010 nucleotides long. NCBI's taxonomy places the organism in Eukaryota, Metazoa, Cnidaria, Anthozoa, Malacalcyonacea, Plexauridae. The record is from the annotation of a GenBank genome assembly.